Molecule: transfer RNA, 71 nt
Filed under: Candidatus Melainabacteria bacterium
Lineage: Bacteria; Bacillati; Candidatus Melainabacteria
Description: tRNA-Trp
Rfam family: tRNA
About the family: Transfer RNA (tRNA) molecules are approximately 80 nucleotides in length. Their secondary structure includes four short double-helical elements and three loops (D, anti-codon, and T loops). Further hydrogen bonds mediate the characteristic L-shaped molecular structure. tRNAs have two regions of fundamental functional importance: the anti-codon, which is responsible for specific mRNA codon recognition, and the 3' end, to which the tRNAs corresponding amino acid is attached (by aminoacyl-tRNA synthetases). tRNAs cope with the degeneracy of the genetic code in two manners: having more than one tRNA (with a specific anti-codon) for a particular amino acid; and 'wobble' base-pairing, i.e. permitting non-standard base-pairing at the 3rd anti-codon position.
Source: RNAcentral
GCGCCUCUAGUUUAAUGGUAGAACAGAGGUCUCCAAAACCUUUAGUCAGGGUUCGAUUCCUUGGAGGCGCG